GACGAACGCUGGCGGCGUGCCUAAUACAUGCAAGUAGAACGCUGAAGCGAGGAGCUUGCUCUUCUUGGAUGAGUUGCGAACGGGUGAGUAACGCGUAGGUAACCUGCCUGGUAGCGGGGGAUAACUAUUGGAAACGAUAGCUAAUACCGCAUAAAAUGGAUUAUCGCAUGAUAAUCCAUUGAAAGGUGCAAAUGCAUCACUACCAGAUGGACCUGCGUUGUAUUAGCUAGUUGGUGGGGUAACGGCUCACCAAGGCGACGAUACAUAGCCGACCUGAGAGGGUGAUCGGCCACACUGGGACUGAGACACGGCCCAGACUCCUACGGGAGGCAGCAGUAGGGAAUCUUCGGCAAUGGACGGAAGUCUGACCGAGCAACGCCGCGUGAGUGAAGAAGGUUUUCGGAUCGUAAAGCUCUGUUGUAAGAGAAGAACGAGUGUGAGAGUGGAAAGUUCACACUGUGACGGUAGCUUACCAGAAAGGGACGGCUAACUACGUG
Molecule: ribosomal RNA, 497 nt
Filed under: uncultured bacterium
Lineage: Bacteria
Description: partial 16S ribosomal RNA
Rfam family: Bacterial small subunit ribosomal RNA
Source: RNAcentral